This 287-nucleotide long non-coding RNA is filed under the name Sus scrofa (pig). RNAcentral describes it as "lncRNA (ENSSSCG00060072041.1)". The record is from RNAcentral. Lineage: Eukaryota; Metazoa; Chordata; Mammalia; Artiodactyla; Suidae.
CGCCCUCCCAGUCCCUCAUGUGAUGGAGCUCCUGUUUCUCACACAGAGGACAAUGAGUGACAGCCUUCCCUGCUGCAGGGAGCAAUGACAACUCGCAGCCCCGGGCCAGAGUCCACUGGUUGCCACCAUCUGCCUUUGGGAGGGAUUUUCCAUCGUGGGCCCAGCGUUGCAAGAGGAUCCAGGAACUGUUUGUCACUGGGAGGCGUUGAUGCUGGCAACGAAAUGUAUUGAUGUCAGAAGGCUGGUGAAGACGCACGGAAGGACAGCUCCGGGUUUUGCAUAAGGCA